GUUGCAUUACACGGAUCAACCACAUGCACGACCCAGCUUUUUCCUUUCUUUUCGUUGAUCAACCUUUUCCACCUCUAUGUUGCGUUGGAGCGCCAUUAGGGUUUCUUGCCAUUGCUUGCUUCACGUCGUUUAUGCCAUCCGUUUCUGCAGCCCAUCAUUUCACGGAAGUGAUACUUUCUUCCGCACACCUCCAAGCUGCAAAAUGACAUCCAGCACCUUACUCCUUAAUUGGGCCCGAGCCCAAUUCAUCUAUACAUUCGCGUAACCAACCAACACCCAUCAAGGGCAUUCAGUGUUCAGCCUCGCGUCCUAGUGUCUGCUAGGGUUCACCAUGAGAGAAAGCCUUCUCUUCUUCCCCUUCACUUGAAACACGUCUUGCAUUAGGGUUUUCAUUCACGUUUUUUUCCCUUUUCAUUGUACACGGAAAUUGGUCGUUGGUCCACUUCCCUUCCUUCUGUUAGGGUCAGUUAGCAAAACCAUUUCCCUCUUUCACCGUUAGGUUGUUGUUAGACGGUGUUCACCAUUUGUGUUGUGUCUGGCUGCCUUCACCUAUAAAAGGCAGGCCACUCUUUGUAAAACUCAGCUUUGAUGAAUGAGAUAUUCCAGUAGAGAUCAUUCCCACAUUCGUCAGCUCACCCUAAACCCUAGGUUAGGUCCUUACCUACUCGGGUUGCCCCAAACCAGUGAGAAACCAUAGCGAAUCAAGCAUAAUCUUCAUCUUCGAGUAUUUCCAUUGCGUUUCCCUCGCUCUCCGCGAGAUUCAAUCAGUGGAACGUCGAUUGGAAAGCUUUUCCGGCGAGUACCGCGACGGAGGAGCCUCAUUAGUCUUCACCCCCAAUGACGUUUCUUUUGGAUUAUUCGUGGUUAUGGUUGAUGAGUUGGGUAAGUUUCGUGGUUUUUGAAGAGAAGAUGGAAUGUUUUUGAAGAUCAAGAUGAAGUUCUCAUGCAAAAAGACGAAAAAGGUUUAACUUUUAUUAUUUCUCCAUUUUCUUAGUUUUAUUUUAAUAUUUUUGUUCUCUGAGCCAAUCUAUUAUGUUGUUUACUGGGUCAUGUGACAAAAGGGUUCUUCCCUACUACAUCUCAAUCCAUACAGCUGGUCAAAGAAAUGUUUCCAAGGAUGUUCCACCGCCAGCUCCUGCCAAUUUCAUUGUGCUAGGAAAGUGGCCACUAUCAUCCAUGACACCAACUAUUGCCCUCAAGAAUGGGAAGCUAAAAGUUGCAGUAGGUGCAAGUGGAGGUGCUUUCAUUAUUGGUGGAACUUUAGAGAUCCUUUUUCUUCUGUAACGGCUCCAAGGGUCUAUCAUCAGAUUACUGGAGAAUGGUUCACAAACAGUAUUUUUUCAGAGAAGCUCUUGAAAGUUGAUUGAUACAAUUCCAAAGCUAUGACUAACAUGAGGCGUAGAAAUAACGUUGGAGCUGAUGAAAUUGCACAUGCAAUUCAUAAGAUGGUCGACGCGAUGUAGCCUGUUGCAGCGUAGCCAAGGGCCAUGAUUCCACAAAUCCGACCUGUGACGAUGGAAGACUUCAUGCGACAUAAGCCAUCAAAAUUCACCGGCAAGGCCACCCUAAAUGAGGCAGACGCGUGGCUACGAGAAUGUGAGAAGAUUUUCAUGGUGAUUGGCUGCACGAAAGCGUAGAAACUUACCUUUGCCACCUUCUUGUUGGUGACCGACGCAGAGUAUUGGUGGAUGGGGAUGCAACAACAGAUGCAGACUCGAGAUGAGGAGGUGACUUAGGUAAAUUUCAUGAAAAGGUUCUUGGAGAAGUACUUCCCAGACAACGAUAAACAUGAGCGCGAAGCUGAGUUUCUCACUCUACAGCAAAGGAACAUGUCGGUACAGGCAUAUGUGGACCAAUUCGAGUAUCUGGCGAGGUUCUACUCAUAGGUGGUCACAGAUGAAUGGCGCUGCAGGAAAUUUAAAGGUGGCCUGAAACAUGAGUUACAUCGGUUCAUUGUGCCCUUGAGGGUUAGGGAGUUUCCUGUCUUGGCGGAGCAAGCCAAGAGUGUCGAGCAACUAGAGAUGGUACCUAGCCGGGUCAGUCGACCCCAAAAGAGUGGUUUGAUGGGCUGGCAACAGAAGAAGCCCUACAGUCGACCCAAUCAGCCUCACAGAAGUUACGGUGUUAUAACUAGUGUUAUAAUUGUGGAGGAGAGCACCUGAGGAGGGACUGUACUAAGCCGGCGGGCAGUGAAGGAGGCAGUGGUAUCAAUCGCAAGUGCUAUGCUUGUGAUCAGCUGGGGCAUUUUGCUAACAAGUGUCCUAAUAAGAAGGCCACUCCUGGAUCACGAUCUCAGUUACCUGCUACAGAGAGGCUUAGAGCAACGGGCCUGGUAUUUACCAUGACCAACAUAGAAGCCACCCGGUCAGAUGAUAUUCCAGGUGAUGUUGUUGACGCAUAGCGAUGGAGAGAGGGCUAACUUGGGGACUUUUGAGCUAGGGAUUUUAUUUUGUGUUGUGUUAUCAUGUCGGAUUUUGGAACUUAUAACAACAUUAUUACGCUAGUUUUAUUUGAAUUAUGGCGCAUUGAAGAAUAUUUCAAUUUUCCCGUGUUUGGGAUUAAUAAAACUUUGAUGUUUGGUUUUA
Vigna unguiculata (cowpea) is the source of this 2585-nucleotide unclassified non-coding RNA. The record is from RefSeq and is a predicted model, not a curated record. NCBI's taxonomy places the organism in Eukaryota, Viridiplantae, Streptophyta, Magnoliopsida, Fabales, Fabaceae.